This 462-nucleotide long non-coding RNA is filed under the name Helianthus annuus (common sunflower). Its description in RNAcentral is "sRNA HanXRQr2_Chr15g0693511". Lineage: Eukaryota; Viridiplantae; Streptophyta; Magnoliopsida; Asterales; Asteraceae. The record is from RNAcentral.
UUGAUCUCGGGGAAUUAUCGUAACUGCUGUAUUGAUCAUUAACCUGGUUCUUGUAAAAUUCGUUAAGAGUUGAUUUAGGUUUUCACCAAUACGUAUUCCAUUCUGUUAAACUACCAAGAAUACUCCCAACUACACCCUUACAAUCAAACAAACUAUAAAAUCAUCAGAAGAUCCAGAAUAAUAAAGUGCAUGCUUAAUUAUCGGAAGAAGUAGAAUCAGGAAGUUUGUUAAUUCAAUCCUGCAUGCUGAUUGUAAUUACAAUAGAUUGGAGCAAGGAUUGGAUCCGACACUAAAGGACUUCAAGAAGUGGCUUAUUUUAUUAAUUAAAUCAAUUAAGAAAUAUUGUUUUUAUUAAAAGCUACCUUUGUAAAACAUGGAAUUUAUUCCAUCUUUUUAAAUAAAAUCCGGUGUUUCUAAACUCUGAUAUUUUUCCUAACUCACGGUCCUGAUGAAAUUUCCGCU